CACGUAGGGCGCAAGCGUUAAUCGGAAUUACUGGGCGUAAAGCGUGCGCAGGCGGUUCGUUAAGUCAGAUGUGAAAGCCCCGGGCUUAACCUGGGGACUGCAUUUGAUACUGGGUUGCUUGAAUUCGGGAGAGGAUAGCGGAAUUCCCAGUGUAGAGGUGAAAUUCGUAGAUAUUGGGAAGAACACCCGUGGCGAAAGCGGCUCUCUGGAACGGUACUGACGCUGAGACGCGAAAGCGUGGGGAGCGAACAGG
RNAcentral lists this ribosomal RNA (253 nucleotides) under uncultured bacterium. RNAcentral's name for it is "partial 16S ribosomal RNA". It matches the Rfam family "Bacterial small subunit ribosomal RNA", at positions 524 to 776 of the family's 1533-position model. The record is from RNAcentral.